Entelurus aequoreus (snake pipefish) is the source of this 479-nucleotide long non-coding RNA. RefSeq lists it as uncharacterized. The record is from RefSeq and is a predicted model, not a curated record. The transcript has 3 exons. Lineage: Eukaryota; Metazoa; Chordata; Actinopteri; Syngnathiformes; Syngnathidae.
CAGCGGGCAAAGCGGAGGAGGCAGCAGUAUGCCUCAAAAAACAGGCAGCCAAAAAAGAAAGGAAAAGAAAAUAAGAGAGGAGAAGGAGUUGAAGGGUCGACAAUAUGUCACCCAAUAUUUCCCAAAAAAAGAGUCAAGUGCACCAGCAGCAGCAGCAGCUGUCUGUCAGCCCCCAAGUCCCCCUGCCCCUGAAUCAGCCCCAGUGCCCCCACAUGAGGAAGGAGGCUGACGCGUCGGGUAGAGGACUGGGAGCUGUUUUGUAGGCGCGGCCGGACGGCUUACCGGCCUGCGUCUAGCGGUGGACGUAUGUGGAGGGGGGCGUGGCCUGCGAGCCUGGAGCGGAACGGGGUGUGCCAGGACCGGCCUCGAAGUCAGCGACAGGUGCGUAGAUGGCCCAGGUGGACCUUGUUAUCUAAUCACCUGUCGCUCUGUUUAAGCAGCAGCCGGGAGAAGAGACAUGGUUGGAGCUGGCGUGAGAG